UACGUAGGGGGCAAGCGUUGUCCGGAAUUAUUGGGCGUAAAGAGCUCGUAGGCGGUCUGUCGCGUCGGAUGUGAAAGCCCGGGGCUUAACUCCGGGUCUGCAUUCGAUACGGGCAGACUAGAGUGUGGUAGGGGAGAUCGGAAUUCCUGGUGUAGCGGUGAAAUGCGCAGAUAUCAGGAGGAACACCGGUGGCGAAGGCGGAUCUCUGGGCCAUUACUGACGCUGAGGAGCGAAAGCGUGGGGAGCGAACAGG
RNAcentral lists this ribosomal RNA (253 nucleotides) under uncultured bacterium. Its description in RNAcentral is "partial 16S ribosomal RNA". It matches the Rfam family "Bacterial small subunit ribosomal RNA", at positions 524 to 776 of the family's 1533-position model. The record is from RNAcentral.